This 347-nucleotide ribosomal RNA is filed under the name uncultured bacterium. Its description in RNAcentral is "bacterial SSU rRNA". It matches the Rfam family "Bacterial small subunit ribosomal RNA", at positions 447 to 793 of the family's 1533-position model. The record is from RNAcentral.
GUAUGAGAGUACUGUUCAUACGUUGACGGUAUUUAACCAGAAAGUCACGGCUAACUACGUGCCAGCAGCCGCGGUAAUACGUAGGUGGCAAGCGUUAUCCGGAUUUAUUGGGCGUAAAGAGAGUGCAGGCGGUUUUCUAAGUCUGAUGUGAAAGCCUUCGGCUUAACCGGAGAAGUGCAUCGGAAACUGGAUAACUUGAGUGCAGAAGAGGGUAGUGGAACUCCAUGUGUAGCGGUGGAAUGCGUAGAUAUAUGGAAGAACACCAGUGGCGAAGGCGGCUACCUGGUCUGCAACUGACGCUGAGACUCGAAAGCAUGGGUAGCGAACAGGAUUAGAUACCCUGGUAG